This is a long non-coding RNA of Aedes aegypti (yellow fever mosquito), 800 nucleotides long. RefSeq lists it as uncharacterized. The transcript is spliced from 2 exons. Lineage: Eukaryota; Metazoa; Arthropoda; Insecta; Diptera; Culicidae. The record is from RefSeq and is a predicted model, not a curated record.
UAUGUCACGGUUCUUACCAAGUUGCGACAGUAAGAUCGACAGUCUACCUUUAGGCGAGAGCGAAUCUAAUCUGGUUGAUCUUUGGAAUUCCCGGCAAAUACGUUGUGAAUACCUCUCAUAAUGUCGUAUAUUAUUAAUGUGUAUUUUUUCUGUGUUUACUUCUUUCUAAGAAUAGAUAUUCUACACACAAAUACAAUGUAGGCAACCCUGAAAUUUUGCAGAUUUGGAUGCUAUACAUUGAAAGCAUCAUAAAAUUAUUCAAGACGACUUCAAGUGGUUUGUGAUUUGUAUUCUCGUGCCAUAUGAGAGUAUGAGACACACAUUCGGCUUAGAUAGAUACGCAUUCGAAUAUAGGUAUUUGUAAACGGUUACGGUAAUUAUAUUCGAAACCCGUUCUUAUCUCCAAACGUACUGAUUAAGCCAGGUGUUUUUGGUAUUGUGCAAUCCGUGAAAGAAACAAUAAACAUUUUUGGAGGCGAUUCCACUUACCUGAUACGAUAAGAGCCUCGUUCGGUCCAACGGUGUGUAUGUUGCCCAUGGUUGUUGAUGAGAUGUGUCCUACAAGCUAAAAUAAUCCUUUAUUGAGUACACCGAACUGUUGAGAAACGCAAGUCGAGAUCACUUUUUUAUGUAGACACGCUAAUUAAGUGCCGCACUAAACUAAUAUGAUUCACGCCUCACAAUACAACUCAGCAGGCUUUGAGUGUGAGUUGUAGAUUCCAGAGUGAUAAACGUGAAAUACACUUUUAGAUUUUGAUAGGAAUUUAAGAAUAAAUUUAAUAAAAGCUCCUGGAAAGGUG